This 497-nucleotide ribosomal RNA is filed under the name uncultured bacterium. RNAcentral's name for it is "partial 16S ribosomal RNA". It matches the Rfam family "Bacterial small subunit ribosomal RNA", at positions 28 to 507 of the family's 1533-position model. The record is from RNAcentral.
GAUGAACGCUGGCGGCGUGCCUAAUACAUGCAAGUCGAGCGAACAGAUAAGGAGCUUGCUCCUUUGACGUUAGCGGCGGACGGGUGAGUAACACGUGGGUAACCUACCUAUAAGACUGGAAUAACUCCGGGAAACCGGGGCUAAUGCCGGAUAACAUUUAGAACCGCAUGGUUCUAAAGUGAAAGAUGGUUUUGCUAUCACUUAUAGAUGGACCCGCGCCGUAUUAGCUAGUUGGUAAGGUAACGGCUUACCAAGGCAACGAUACGUAGCCGACCUGAGGGGGUGAUCGGCCACACUGGAACUGAGACACGGUCCAGACUCCUACGGGAGGCAGCAGUAGGGAAUCUUCCGCAAAGGGCGAAAGCCUGACGGAGCAACGCCGCGUGAGUGAUGAAGGUCUUCGGAUCGUAAAACUCUGUUAUUAGGGAAGAACAAAUGUGUAAGUAACUGUGCACGUCUUGACGGUACCUAAUCAGAAAGCCACGGCUAACUACGUG